RNAcentral lists this ribosomal RNA (745 nucleotides) under uncultured bacterium. Its description in RNAcentral is "bacterial SSU rRNA". It matches the Rfam family "Bacterial small subunit ribosomal RNA", at positions 33 to 773 of the family's 1533-position model. The record is from RNAcentral.
ACGCUGGCGGCAGGCCUAACACAUGCAAGUCGAGCGGUAGAGAGAAGCUUGCUUCUCUUGAGAGCGGCGGACGGGUGAGUAGUGCCUAGGAAUCUGCCUGGUAGUGGGGGAUAACGUUCGGAAACGGACGCUAAUACCGCAUACGUCCUACGGGAGAGAGCAGGGGACCUUCGGGCCUUGCGCUAUCAGAUGAGCCUAGGUCGGAUUAGCUAGUUGGUGAGGUAAUGGCUCACCAAGGCGACGAUCCGUAACUGGUCUGAGAGGAUGAUCAGUCACACUGGAACUGAGACACGGUCCAGACUCCUACGGGAGGCAGCAGUGGGGAAUAUUGGACAAUGGGCGAAAGCCUGAUCCAGCCAUGCCGCGUGUGUGAAGAAGGUCUUCGGAUUGUAAAGCACUUUAAGUUGGGAGGAAGGGCAUUAACCUAAUACGUUAGUGUUUUGACGUUACCGACAGAAUAAGCACCGGCUAACUCUGUGCCAGCAGCCGCGGUAAUACAGAGGGUGCAAGCGUUAAUCGGAAUUACUGGGCGUAAAGCGCGCGUAGGUGGUUUGUUAAGUUGGAUGUGAAAUCCCCGGGCUCAACCUGGGAACUGCAUUCAAAACUGACUGACUAGAGUAUGGUAGAGGGUGGUGGAAUUUCCUGUGUAGCGGUGAAAUGCGUAGAUAUAGGAAGGAACACCAGUGGCGAAGGCGACCACCUGGACUAAUACUGACACUGAGGUGCGAAAGCGUGGGGAGCAAAC